UAAACAAUUGCAACAGUAUUCGACGAUA
RNAcentral lists this small RNA (28 nucleotides) under Bombyx mori (domestic silkworm). RNAcentral's name for it is "ovarian small RNA-18097". The record is from RNAcentral. Lineage: Eukaryota; Metazoa; Arthropoda; Insecta; Lepidoptera; Bombycidae.